AACGACUCUCGGCAACGGAUAUCUCGGCUCUCGCAUCGAUGAAGAACGUAGCGAAAUGCGAUACUUGGUGUGAAUUGCAGAAUCCCGCGAACCAUCGAGUCUUUGAACGCAAGUUGCGCCCGAAGCCGUUCGGCCGAGGGCACGUCUGCCUGGGCGUCACGC
This 162-nucleotide ribosomal RNA is filed under the name Fadogia ancylantha. RNAcentral's name for it is "5.8S ribosomal RNA". It matches the Rfam family "5.8S ribosomal RNA". Rfam says of the family: 5.8S ribosomal RNA (5.8S rRNA) is a component of the large subunit of the eukaryotic ribosome. It is transcribed by RNA polymerase I as part of the 45S precursor that also contains 18S and 28S rRNA. RNAcentral also lists the same sequence under 10 other names. The record is from RNAcentral. Lineage: Eukaryota; Viridiplantae; Streptophyta; Magnoliopsida; Gentianales; Rubiaceae.